Molecule: long non-coding RNA, 472 nt
Filed under: Sus scrofa (pig)
Lineage: Eukaryota; Metazoa; Chordata; Mammalia; Artiodactyla; Suidae
Description: lncRNA (ENSSSCG00060037692.1)
Source: RNAcentral
GGGAGGGAGAGGUGCCCUAGUCACUGAGACUCAAUUCCUUUUUGAACAGCGUCUGACAUUUAUUGAAAAUCAGGAAAAGACGUUUGUCCAGGUAGUGUAGAAGAGCUGGGCAGAGUGCUGGGGUUACUGUGUUGGACAAAAGGCACACGUCAGAGAGACAGCUGCACAUUCAGAAGAGAACUGGAUUCUGGGCGAAACUAACAGGUCCACAGGAGACAAUGAGUGACUCGACGUGGCUGCCAGGAGCAGGAGCAGGAGCGGGAGCGGGAGCGGGAGCAGGAGAUGUCUCUGGGAGUAGGGAGGGAGUGGGCCCCGCUGACGGUGAAAGGCUGGCCGGCCCCUCCGCGGCGGUGGAGAGCUGUUGCAAUCAUCGUCUCGGGGGGCAGUGAGCAGCUCAGGCACCCCACCCCCCCGGGGGGGUGGUGGUGAGUCCAGAUCCCCGAAGGCUGCAGGGCGUCGGCGGGAGCGAUGC